AUCUUCGCGCAUCCCCACAUCGCCGCGCCCGCUCCACUCUUCCACCCCCGGCGCCGCUGACCCCUCCCCAGCUCCCGCCUCCCGGUCUCCCUCGACCCAUCCCCACCGCUUGAAGCCCUCCCGUCGUGCCUCACGGUCUCCAUCACGCCGGCUCGCCCUCGACAGAUCCCCGGAAGCCCUCCCGUCGCCAGUUCGUCGCACACACCUACCUUGCCGAUCUGCUCCUCGCCGCCACUGUCGGCGCCCGCAUCCACGACGCCGCCGUCAUCGCUUGAGUGAAGACCAUGGAUGCAGCAUGCAUGCAGAGUUGCAGACUGAAGACAGGCCAUCAUUCUUCAGUCUACCACGAGAUAGCAGCACAAAUGCUUGAUUCACUUGUGAGAAUCACUUCUUUCAACU
This 399-nucleotide long non-coding RNA is filed under the name Oryza sativa aus subgroup. RNAcentral's name for it is "lncRNA OsN22_08G009230". The record is from RNAcentral. Lineage: Eukaryota; Viridiplantae; Streptophyta; Magnoliopsida; Poales; Poaceae.